This 1440-nucleotide unclassified non-coding RNA is filed under the name Leishmania donovani. RNAcentral describes it as "gene:unknown". The record is from RNAcentral. Lineage: Eukaryota; Euglenozoa; Kinetoplastea; Trypanosomatida; Trypanosomatidae.
GCUUCUCGCGCGUAUUUUCGUGCCGACGUCCUUGCCGACGCUGCCGCAGGUGCGAUACGCCGAGCGGACGGGCACGACCCACCACCGCUACUGCUUGUUGGCGUUUGUGGUACUGAACGGAAGGCAAAGGUUGACACUCGCGUUUUUCUCUCUGCACGUGCGCGUCUGCACAAGAGCGGUGCUUAUUUUUCGUUUCUUAGCCCCCGUCGCGCUCGCUUCGCCUGCACGAGAUCGUCGUCCGCCCAAGUGGGUUUUGACGAAGAUGAUGAUCAAAUCGGACACCCACCCAGAGCGCCUCAUGCACGGCGACGGCGAGUUGUAACCGAGCAGCCACUCCAGCGACUCCUUGUAGCGGCGGGCUAACACGCGCGCACGCAUUCGAACGCACAGAAGCGGCCCGAGGCCAACUACGGUGCACAUGAUAACUUCGAUGGCAGUGCACCAGAGGUGGGUAAGCCGUGACAUUGACAGGAGUGUCACGGGCGCUCGGGGCGCGUGUGCCGGCGGCUACUGGAGGCCGGUGGGACGAGUCCACUAUGCCGGUCAAAUGCAUCGAGCGCUGUGUUGCUCUUCCCGACUGCGCCAUGUUCAACCCGACGCGACCGCAGGCCGACUUCAACGAGCGAGUCGCGGAGUGAAGCAUCCGCGUCGUCCAGCGCCCGUUCGAGGCGCUGGAGCAGGAUACAACCGAGAUGGUACUGUACCCGGCAGAGGUGGGCGUGCCGAAUAUGACGAAGGUGGCGCGGGCGUAGACGGCGCCGCGGUGGCGACGGCUCACCACGAGCCAUCAUAGCGUCCCCUGCUUUGCGCGGGGCAUCGUCACCGGUUUUGAGGCGCUGCUCAGCACUAUUCGCACGUUCCGUGUCUGCGUGGAUGAAUAGCGCCACUCUCUGGUGAGCAGGAAGAAGGGCGCCCACGGCCUGAGUGGCGUCGCGGCGAGAGUCUGUCAGCAGCGGAGUGGUAGCGGCGGCGCCGGCGAGGAGACGCGUGUUGUAGGGGCGCGCACGAAAGCGGAAGUGUUCAACUGCGUUCCAGAUAUGUUCUGGCACGUUAUCGAGGCUGUCGCAAGGACGUACUACUCUGAGAAGCUGAUGAACCAUAUCGCUUUCUCGCGACAGCACGGCCGCGUGGUGAGGUGCGUCAUGAGCUGCUGUCUCGGCAGAAGAACUCCGAGAUAUCGCUGCCGCGGUACCACGUCUUCACGAUAGCCUUCAGCCCUCGGGGAGAGUGGGAAAAGGUUGUGGCGACAGUGCUGGCGCACUUGUGCUGCGGUUAACAGGGGUAUUGGAUGGCAAACGAAUACGACAACCUCCGCCACUGCGGCGCGAGUGUGGUGAGCGCGAUGGCGCGUGUGUGAUCGACGCGGCAGUCUGCUAGCUGCGCCGAGGCGACGGUGCAGGUGAGGUGUGUGUGCACCCGUUGAUGUGGGCGCAGCAACAG